AUGUCCUUCCUCUGGCUGUGGAAUGUCCAGCAGCAGAGCGUGAGUGGCCAUGAAAUGAAGCUGGGCCUCAGGAGAGCCGUCUGGAGCUGCGUCACGAGCUUCGUGCCCUACAGUAAGCGUGAACUGAAGCAGUGUUGGUUAAGCACGGCUCACUCCUCUGUCUGCAACAGAUGGGCUUUCUGCACGUUUUAUUGCUGUGGCUGACGCUGAACAGCACAGCAGCAGCGAGGCCUCAAGCAUGUCCACAACCAGGUACGUGAACGUGAGUAACUUUAGCUGUGUGAAUGAUGUUAUUGUUCAUAUUAGUAAGGCAGUAGUCAUGCAUGUGUGAUGGAGCUCAGGGAUAGGUUUAUUCUUGUUUGUUAAGCUCUUCCCUUAUUUGACGUCCACCCGUCCUCUCUUGCUUCUCUUCCCCCCACCUGCAAGUGCAGCAGUACUGAAGGCUGAGGGCUCUUUUCCUAGGCAGGUGCUAAAGGGCAACUGAAAUGCAAGUUUGAUGUCUCUCUUUGUUCUCGGGUCGGUAGCCCAAGGUGACCAAGCUUCAGAGUACUUCUCUAAGUCAGCCUGGAAAUGUUUCAAGCAGGAAGUAACACCAUCACAGUGUCUGAGAGUGAUGAUGCCUCUUUUUCCCCCCUCACAGCAGGCAGCCUACUUGAGAGCAGUAAAGCAGUAGGCUGUCUGCGCUAUGGCUGCUGAACUGCAUUUCUCACCACCUGAGAUCCCUGAGCCCACGAUAUUGGAGAACAUGCUGCGCUACGGACUCUUGUUUGGAGCCCUUUUCCAGCUCCUGUGUGUGCUGGCCAUCAUCCUGCCAGCUUUCAAGUCCCCAAAGGCAGUAAGUGGUGCUCUCACGGGCUGAGAGAAAGGCACGGGCAACCGGCUGGGAGGGAACCAUCUGUAGCUGUUGCCUACGGCAGUGUGUCCCAGCACUGCUGAGAGUGCCGCAGUUGGCUCUGUCCUUCCUU
This 965-nucleotide long non-coding RNA is filed under the name Coturnix japonica (Japanese quail). RNAcentral's name for it is "lncRNA (ENSCJPG00005011098.1)". Lineage: Eukaryota; Metazoa; Chordata; Aves; Galliformes; Phasianidae. The record is from RNAcentral.